This 802-nucleotide ribosomal RNA is filed under the name uncultured Rubrobacteria bacterium. Its description in RNAcentral is "bacterial SSU rRNA". It matches the Rfam family "Bacterial small subunit ribosomal RNA", at positions 8 to 796 of the family's 1533-position model. Lineage: Bacteria; Bacillati; Actinomycetota; Rubrobacteria. The record is from RNAcentral.
AGAGUUUGAUCAUGGCUCAGGAUGAACGCUGGCGGCGUGCUUAACACAUGCAAGUCGUACGGAAAGCCAUUUUCGGAUGGACUCGAGUGGCGAACGGGUGAGUAUCACGUGAGUGACCUGCCUUCAGCUUUGUGAUAACCUAGGGAAACUCGGGCUAAUACCGGAUGUGUACGCCUUGCACAAGCAAGGUGUGGAAAGGAAGCUUCGGCCUCCGCUUCGGGAUGGGCCCGCGGCCCAUUAGCUUGUUGGUGAGGUAACGGCUCACCAAGGCCGCGAUGGGUAGCUGGUCUGAGAGGACGAUCAGCCACACUGGGACUGAGACACGGCCCAGACUCCUACGGGAGGCAGCAGUGGGGAAUCUUUGCGCAAUGCGCGAAAGCGUGACGCAGCAACGCCGCGUGGGUGAAGAAGGCCUUCGGGUUGUAAAGCCCUUUCAGGAGGGACGAAGCCUGGGCCGUUAAUAGCGGUUCCAGGUGACGGUACCUCCAGAAGAAGCCCCGGCUAACUACGUGCCAGCAGCCGCGGUAAUACGUAGGGGGCAAGCGUUGUCCGGAAUCAUUGGGCGUAAAGAGCGUGUAGGCGGUCCGGUAAGUCCGUUGUGAAAGUCAAGGGCUCAACCCUUGAAUGCCGGCGGAUACUGUCGGGCUAGAGUCCGGAAGAGGUGAGUGGAAUUCCCGGUGUAGCGGUGAAAUGCGCAGAUAUCGGGAGGAACACCAAUGGCGAAGGCAGCUCACUGGGACGGUACUGACGCUGAGACCGCGAAAGCGUGGGGAGCAAACAGGAUUAGAUACCCCUGUAGUCC